CGCUGAACUUAAGCAUAUUAAUAAGCGGAGGAAAAGAAACUACCCAGGAUUCCCCUAGUAACGGCGAGUGAAGCGGGAUGAGCUCAAGCUUAAAAUCUCUGUGCCAGUUUGGCAUGGCGAAUUGUAGUCUAUAGAGGCGUUGUCAGUGCGGCUGUGCGGGGUAAGUUCCUUGGAAGAGGACAGCAUCGAGGGUGAUACUCCCGUUUGUACCUGUGCGGCUUGCGCGUACGACACGUUUUCUUCGAGUCGCGUUGUUUGGGACUGCAGCGCAAAGUAGGUGGUAAAUUCCAUCUAAAGCUAAAUAUUGGUGCGAGACCGAUAGCGAACAAGUACCGUGAGGGAAAGAUGAAAAGAACUUUGAAAAGAGAGUUAAAGAGUACCUGAAACUGCUGAAAGGGAAGCGAAUCGUAUCCAGUGUCUAUAAUCUGCGGCAUAUUUCAUUGGCGGCGGUGCGCGUGCUUUUGCGUCGGAAGCGGCUUUUGUUGCUCUGUGCUUUUGCUGUGCGUGCUGUUGCUGGUGAGGUAGGUCAGGACUUCGGUCUUGGCUGUUAUAUCUUGGUGGUUUGUUGUCGUGGUUGGGACUGAGGUGCCUACAAUGUGCUUUUGAGUGUGCCGGGUUCUCAUUUGGUGGACUGUUUGGAUAGCUUGCUAUGCUUGUGGUUUUUUCAUCGAGUGAUUGAGUCUGGUGGUAACUUAUUGCCGUUCGGGACUUUGACGAAAUGGAGCGAUUCGGCCCGUCUUGAAACACGGACCAAGGAGUCUAACAUGUGUGCAAGUGUUAGGGUGUGGAAACCCGAGCGCGUAAUGAAAGUAAAGGGUGGCUUUAGCUGCCUGAGGUAGGAAACCUUUGUUCUCAGAGGUGGCACUAUCGACCGAUCAAGAACCUUCGUGGUGAAAGAUUUGAGUAUGAGCACAUAUGUUGGUACCCGAAAGAUGGUGAACUAUGCCUGAGUAGGGUGAAGCCAGGGGAAACUCUGGUGGAAGCUCGUAGCGAUUCUGACGUGCAAAUCGAUCGUCAAACUUGGGUAUAGGGGCGAAAGACUAAUCGAACCAUCUAGUAGCUGGUUCCCUCCGAAAUUUCCCUCAGGAUAGCAGCAACUUAUUUACGAUAGUUUUAUGAGGUAAAGCGAAUGAUUAGAGGACUGGGGGAAGCAACUUCCUCCACCUAUUCUCAAACUUUAAAUCUGUAAGACCUGCAGGUUUCUUAAUUGAACUUGUGGAUGUGAAUAUCAAGUUGCUAGUGGGCCAUACGGGGUAAGCUCGUCUGGCG
This 1269-nucleotide ribosomal RNA is filed under the name Pythium hydnosporum. RNAcentral's name for it is "partial large subunit ribosomal RNA". It matches the Rfam family "Eukaryotic large subunit ribosomal RNA", at positions 26 to 1155 of the family's 3401-position model. The record is from RNAcentral. Lineage: Eukaryota; Oomycota; Peronosporomycetes; Pythiales; Pythiaceae.